GAUGAACGCUGGCGGCGUGCCUAAUACAUGCAAGUCGAGCGAACGGACGAGAAGCUUGCUUCUCUGAUGUUAGCGGCGGACGGGUGAGUAACACGUGGAUAACCUACCUAUAAGACUGGGAUAACUUCGGGAAACCGGAGCUAAUACCGGAUAAUAUUUUGAACCGCAUGGUUCAAAAGUGAAAGACGGUCUUGCUGUCACUUAUAGAUGGAUCCGCGCUGCAUUAGCUAGUUGGUAAGGUAACGGCUUACCAAGGCAACGAUGCAUAGCCGACCUGAGAGGGUGAUCGGCCACACUGGAACUGAGACACGGUCCAGACUCCUACGGGAGGCAGCAGUAGGGAAUCUUCCGCAAUGGGCGAAAGCCUGACGGAGCAACGCCGCGUGAGUGAUGAAGGUUUUCGGAUCGUAAAACUCUGUUAUUAGGGAAGAACAUAUGUGUAAGUAACUGUGCACAUCUUGACGGUACCUAAUCAGAAAGCGACGGCUAACUACGUG
This 497-nucleotide ribosomal RNA is filed under the name uncultured bacterium. RNAcentral's name for it is "partial 16S ribosomal RNA". It matches the Rfam family "Bacterial small subunit ribosomal RNA", at positions 28 to 507 of the family's 1533-position model. The record is from RNAcentral.